This 326-nucleotide long non-coding RNA is filed under the name Brassica rapa (field mustard). RNAcentral's name for it is "long non-coding RNA (BRAP_LNC002121)". Lineage: Eukaryota; Viridiplantae; Streptophyta; Magnoliopsida; Brassicales; Brassicaceae. The record is from RNAcentral.
AUUAAGAAUAGUUGAAAAAAAAAUAUUUUAACUUGGACUCAAUGGCCCAAAGGAAAAAAAAAGUGAGAAUUGAAUCUGAUUUUUUAAUAGGCCCAAAUGACCCAAGAGAGAUUUGAUUUGGGCUGGAUCCAAAAAUAAUGACCCAAUAUAGAUUUGUUAUUAAUAUUACUUAAUUGCCCUUAAUGAAACAUGCAAUUUUAGUGAAGGAAACAUGCCCCUAAGGUAAUUAUGACAAUAGGAUCCUGCUUUAAUAGUAUAGAUACUAUAGUUAACAGAAAAGGAUGAAUUCACAUUCCGACAAUAGUAGAUAAAAUCUUUACCUUUUU